CCUACGGGUGGCAGCAGUGAGGAAUAUUGGUCAAUGGGCGCGAGCCUGAACCAGCCAAGCAGCGUGAAGGAAGACUGCCCUACGGGUUGUAAACUGCUUUUAUAAAGGAAUAAAGUGAGGCACGUGUGCCUUUUUGUAUGUACCUUAUGAAUAAGGAUCGGCUAACUCCGUGCCAGCAGCCGCGGUAAUACGGAGGAUCCGAGCGUUGCCGGGUUUAUUGGGUUUAAAGGGUGCGUAGAUGGGUUGUUAAGUCAGUUGUGAAAGUUUGCGGCUCAACCGUAAAAUUGCAAUUGAUACUGGUAGUCUUGAGGACAGUUGAGGUAGGCGGAAUGCGUGGUGUAGCGGUGAAAUGCUUAGAUAUCACGCAGAACUCCGAUUGCGAAGGCAGCUUACUAAGCUGCCUCUGACAUUGAGGCUCGAAAGUGUGGGUAGCAAACAGGAUUAGAUACCCGGGUAGUC
RNAcentral lists this ribosomal RNA (459 nucleotides) under uncultured bacterium. RNAcentral's name for it is "partial 16S ribosomal RNA". It matches the Rfam family "Bacterial small subunit ribosomal RNA", at positions 338 to 795 of the family's 1533-position model. The record is from RNAcentral.